Molecule: long non-coding RNA, 907 nt
Filed under: Homo sapiens (human)
Lineage: Eukaryota; Metazoa; Chordata; Mammalia; Primates; Hominidae
Description: HSALNT0319353
Source: RNAcentral
AAUAGGACAGAAGACAGCUCCCAAGAUUUUCCCCUACGAGGGGGUUCAUUCAUCAGCUCCUGGGCCUGGUAACCGGGGAGGAAGAGCGUUUAAGCUAUUAUUACUAAUGGGGGAGGGGCAGAGGCCCGCUUAGAACAAUUAGGCAGGUGACAAUAUUCCACUAUAAUGCGUCGUCCUCGAAACUGGACCGGGUUUAGAAGACUAUCAGGGCUGUCUCUUGCUUCCGCGGGCCUCGGCGCCGGGGCCUCCGCCUGGGUCUGGCUCCGGGUUAAUGGUGGCGCCGCCGGGAGGCUGGGAAGGGAGAGGGGAGGGCACUCUGGCUGCCCUGCCCAGGAACAGGGAGGCUUUCAGUGGCCGCUCGGACUCCUCGUUAGGGCGUUUGAAAGCCCCAAAUGGCCGGUGGCGGGGGCCAUUGCGUCGAUCAGUUUUUCCUUCCUGCGCCCCAUCAGGCGCGCCCGGUUCCCCAACUACCCGCUCCUCCACCCUGCGAACGCCUUUCCGCAACCUACUGGCUCCGUAGAUACAGCCAUUCAGCCGGUUACAAAAAAGGAACAAUGCCAACAUUGAAGUCCUCGGUUGGAGUCUGCACAGUUGGAGAUCUUUGGUGCCAUUUUAGACAUCUUUGGAUUUCAUCAAUCAAACUGACUGCAAUUUUCCAUAAAAACCCUGAAUUUGGGUCAGAAAGUGGGCAAAGUAGAUAAAGAUCAUUCGAGCUGUCUUAUAAGAUGAUAAAUAGAUAUCCUUUCAGGCCAACAAUGCCAAAGUGCAGUUUUGUGAUUCCCUUCCAUGGGUUCUGAAUGCAGUGAGUCGAAACGAUUUCUACAUGUUUUCCCAUGGUUUAGGAGGUGUCUUUACAUACUUGUCAAUAGUAGCCUGACCUUUUUCCCCAUGGAGUUGCUAAGUGUGU